AUUGAACGCUGGCGGCGGGCCUAACACAUGCAAGUCGAACGAGUGGCGGACGGGUGAGUAACGUAUGGGAAUCUGCCUGAUGGAGGGGGAUAACUCAUGGGAACGGUAGAUAAUACCGCAUACCAUCAGAUGAACACGUAUGGGAUUAGCUUGUAGGUAAGGUAACGGCUGACCGAGGCGACGAUCCCUAGCUGGUCUGAGAGGAUGAUCAGCCACACUGGGACUGAGACACGGCCCAGACUCCUACGGGAGGCAGCAGUGGGGAAUAUUGCACAAUGGGCGCAAGCCUGAUGCAGCCAUGCCGCGUGUAUGAAGAAGGCCUUCGGGUUGUAAAGUACUUUCAGUCGGGAGGCGGUACCGACAGAAGAAGCACCGGCUAACUCCGUGCCAGCAGCCGCGGUAAUUC
Molecule: ribosomal RNA, 406 nt
Filed under: uncultured bacterium
Lineage: Bacteria
Description: partial 16S ribosomal RNA
Rfam family: Bacterial small subunit ribosomal RNA
Source: RNAcentral